This 406-nucleotide ribosomal RNA is filed under the name uncultured bacterium. Its description in RNAcentral is "partial 16S ribosomal RNA". It matches the Rfam family "Bacterial small subunit ribosomal RNA", at positions 30 to 526 of the family's 1533-position model. The record is from RNAcentral.
AUUGAACGCUGGCGGCAGGCCUAACACAUGCAAGUCGAACGAGUGGCGGACGGGUGAGUGAUGGCUUGGAACCUGCCUGAUGGAGGGGGAUAACUACUGGAAACGGUAGCUACUACCGCAUACCAUCAGAUGUGCCGAGAUGGGAUUAGCUAGUUGGGGGGGUAACGGCUCACCAAGGCGACGAUCCCUAGCUGGUCUGAGAGGAUGACCAGCCACACUGGAACUGAGACACGGUCCAGACUCCUACGGGAGGCAGCAGUGGGGAAUAUUGCACAAUGGGCGCAAGCCUGAUGCAGCCAUGCCGCGUGUAUGAAGAAGGCCUUCGGGUUGUAAAGUACUUUCAGCGGGGAGGCGUUACCCGCAGAAGAAGCACCGGCUAACUCCGUGCCAGCAGCCGCGGUAAUAC